UACGUAGGGUGCGAGCGUUAAUCGGAAUUACUGGGCGUAAAGCGUGCGCAGGCGGUUUUGUAAGACAGAGGUGAAAUCCCCGGGCUCAACCUGGGAACUGCCUUUGUGACUGCAAAGCUGGAGUGCGGCAGAGGGGGAUGGAAUUCCGCGUGUAGCAGUGAAAUGCGUAGAUAUGCGGAGGAACACCGAUGGCGAAGGCAAUCCCCUGGGCCUGCACUGACGCUGAGGCGCGACAGCGUGGGGAGCAAACAGG
RNAcentral lists this ribosomal RNA (253 nucleotides) under uncultured bacterium. RNAcentral's name for it is "partial 16S ribosomal RNA". It matches the Rfam family "Bacterial small subunit ribosomal RNA", at positions 524 to 776 of the family's 1533-position model. The record is from RNAcentral.